This 295-nucleotide long non-coding RNA is filed under the name Gossypium barbadense (sea-island cotton). RNAcentral's name for it is "long non-coding RNA (GBAR_LNC008992)". The record is from RNAcentral. Lineage: Eukaryota; Viridiplantae; Streptophyta; Magnoliopsida; Malvales; Malvaceae.
GUGGUGAUCCAAGCUCGAGUAAUACUUUAAGGUAGAAGGAGUAGUAGAUAGUGCUAAAGUUUGAACAGUGAUGAUUCAUCUUGAAGAAGGGCACUGGAGUGGCACCAAUUUUUCACUCAAAACAAGGACGACUACAUAUAUUGAAAUGGACCUGCUAUACCCAUAGCAUGAAGGAGAGGUUUGACUCAAGCUCCUUCUGAGAUUCCAGGGCUGAACUAGUCACUUUGAAGCGACAGGGAGCCGUGAAGCAAUACCAUGAUGUGUUUGCAAGUUUAUUGAACCAACUACAAUUGCC